This 329-nucleotide ribosomal RNA is filed under the name uncultured Oscillospiraceae bacterium. RNAcentral's name for it is "bacterial SSU rRNA". It matches the Rfam family "Bacterial small subunit ribosomal RNA", at positions 28 to 339 of the family's 1533-position model. Lineage: Bacteria; Bacillati; Bacillota; Clostridia; Eubacteriales; Oscillospiraceae. The record is from RNAcentral.
GAUGAACGCUGGCGGCGUGCCUAACACAUGCAAGUCGAACGAAGCAUAUAUAACGGAGAUUCGUCGAAGCUGUAUAUGACUUAGUGGCGGACGGGUGAGUAAUGUAUGAGCAACCUGCCUUUCAGAGGGGGACAACAGUUGGAAACGACUGCUAAUACCGCAUAAUGUAUUGAGGGGACAUCCCCUUAAUACCAAAGGAGCAAUCCGCUGAAAGAUGGGCUCAUAUCUGAUUAGCUAGUUGGCGGGGUAACGGCCCACCAAGGCGACGAUCAGUAGCCGGACUGAGAGGUUGAACGGCCACAUUGGGACUGAGAUACGGCCCAGACUCC